UGUGUCUGUGUGUAUGUCUGUGUGUAUGUGUGUGUGUAUCUAUGUGUAUGUCUGUGUGUAUGUGUGUGUCUGUGUGUAUGUAUGUGUGUGUGUGUGUCUGUGUGUAUGUAUGUGUAUCUGUGUGUCUGUGUGUAUGUAUGUGUGUCUGUGUGUGUAUGUAUGUGUAUCUGUGUGUCUGUGUGUAUGUAUGUGUGUCUGUGUGUAUGUAUGUGUGUAUGUGUGUGUGUGUGUGUCUGUGUGUGUAUGUAUGUGUGUCUGUGUGUGUGUCUGUGUGUCUGUGUGUAUGUAUGUGUGUCUGUGUGUCUGUGUGUCUGUGUGUGUGUCUGUGUGUCAGUGUGUGUGUGUGUCUCUCCAGGCCCGCGUCUCGCACAGCCGCCGUGCGGACCGCAGGGCGCUG
This 397-nucleotide long non-coding RNA is filed under the name Lonchura striata (white-rumped munia). RNAcentral's name for it is "domestica (Bengalese finch) lncRNA (ENSLSDG00000001864.1)". The record is from RNAcentral. Lineage: Eukaryota; Metazoa; Chordata; Aves; Passeriformes; Estrildidae.